GACGAGUCUGACUAUCUCCAUCCCCUUUCUCUUCUCUUCCAACGCUGUUGCCGUGGGAGUGUUGGUGGUGGUGGUGGGCGGCGUUAGUGGUUGAGGGAGAAUAAAUGCUGGGGCUGAGGGCCUACACGGUGGUGGUGGUGCGAUAAGAGGAGUGAUGGAUGCUUGAUGCUUCCCUUUGUGCUCAUUCAAUUUUGAGGAGAAACUAGAAAGGGAGAGGCACGUGGGUUCUUCUUCAGCUGGUGGCAACUGUUGAGGGGUGGGCUUUAAAAGCAGUUAUUAAAUUGCCUUACCUGCUUUCUCAGCUAUUCCGCAUUUCUUACUGCCUUUUCCUCACUCCAUUUCGGGCUCUCCACCUUGGAAUCUAGGGUUUUUGGUCCAGCCCCAUUGUGGCUGGAGUUGGAAUAUGUUGUUUGUCGUUGGGUUGAGGGAUCCCAGAAGGCAUUUACUGUGACUCAAUGUGGUUUCGUUUUCAUAGAGCAAGGUGGUGGCAGUGAUAAAAUGUUGGUUUUGGGUUGCGAUCGCGAUGUGAUUUUUCUCGCAAUUGAAGCUAAUGCAGACUCUGGCGUCCCAAAACGAGUAGACCCAUAAUGGCAAAC
Molecule: long non-coding RNA, 596 nt
Filed under: Vitis vinifera (wine grape)
Lineage: Eukaryota; Viridiplantae; Streptophyta; Magnoliopsida; Vitales; Vitaceae
Description: long non-coding RNA (VVIN_LNC008190)
Source: RNAcentral